Molecule: ribosomal RNA, 253 nt
Filed under: uncultured bacterium
Lineage: Bacteria
Description: partial 16S ribosomal RNA
Rfam family: Bacterial small subunit ribosomal RNA
Source: RNAcentral
UACGUAGGGGGCAAGCGUUGCUCGGAAUCACUGGGCGUAAAGCGCACGUAGGCGGCUUCUCAAGUCAGGGGUGAAAUCCUGGAGCUCAACUCCAGAACUGCCUUUGAUACUGAGGGGCUCGAGUCCGGGAGAGGUGAGUGGAACUGCGAGUGUAGAGGUGAAAUUCGUAGAUAUUCGCAAGAACACCAGUGGCGAAGGCGGCUCACUGGCCCGGUACUGACGCUGAGGUGCGAAAGCGUGGGGAGCAAACAGG